CAGGCUACGGCUCGCCUGCCACCGCUAUGCCGAGACAUAGGUAGAGACUCGGGAUGGGGUAAGAGAAGGGCGUGGGUGGAGCGGCGUACGGGGGUGGGGAGGGUUAGAGCUGGACCUAGCGGCCAAGCCAGAAGUGGUGUCUCUCUUGCUCCCCCUCUCUCCGCUACCCUACCCUUGACCGUAGGUACCCAGCCUCACUCGGCGCUUCGUGUAGAGACGCCUCCAGCUCUACGGGCCUAGCAACGGUAAGAAAGAUAUGAGUUUGCGUGGUUUUUUUUUUUUCUUUAGUACCGCUGCCACCGUAGCCCACGAUGACGGAUGCUCAUACAGGUAUAGUAGGUCCGCCUCUUAGAGUGGCCCUUACAAGGCAGGUAAGAGAUGUCCGCUAUCCCGAGAGGGCUAGAGCAGGACCUCCUUGUUGCGACAAGUGGUGAAGACCAGUCCAACAGCCGACGUCUGGACAAGUUGGUCACAGAAGCCUACGAUAACAGGUUCUGUCGGAGGUGCGAAGACGGGAUGUAUGUCUGAUAGGUACAGACAGGGAUCUAUACGCCCCUCCUCGUUCGUCCUCCCGUUCCUCCUCGUGUGGAGAUAGUACGUGUGCUAGUAAAACCCUCGUGGUUUGUACGUCACGAACUACGAAUAUAUACAUUUUCAUUGUAUCCUUUUAGGAGAGAUUUCGAUUGUACCAAAAGUGUCAUAUUACAAGUCAAAACGCAAUUCGUGAAUUCUAUGUGAAGGGGGAGGUAAGGGAGGGACGUGGUAGCGACGGCGAGUCGUCUGCCUCUACGGCGCAAGACGCCACGGCCGCUUGAGGGUGUGCUAAGUAGGACCUGUCAAGCCGUUGUCCAUCGUCGUCGAGUAGACGCUGCAGUGGUUCCUGUCAUUCUUGGGCGACACACCGGAAGGGGUUGCUCAGCCAGUAGGAGACGGGUCGAUAAUACUUUGUAAAGAACUCCAGAUGAAAGUUUGGUCAAUAAUUGUUCUGGUAGAGUCCUUGUAUUAUGUUCUUACAGCUUACUUUGUCUGUACAAUGAUAAGUACCUACCUUAUACAGAAGUUAAAGUAGUUCAAGUAGGGACUCGAAUAUAUCUCGUUUUAAAUACAUUAUACGUUUACAUUUAAACUAAAGUAAAAUGGUCUAUUUGAGCAGAACCAACUUAAAUGAUUAGACCAGUCAAUCGAUUAAUAGAACAGUACACUACGCGUUCUACUUCCGAACAUGUAAUAAAGACUUUUAUAUUCAUUAGAUAAGUA
This 1257-nucleotide ribosomal RNA is filed under the name Triticum aestivum (bread wheat). Its description in RNAcentral is "partial small subunit ribosomal RNA". The record is from RNAcentral. Lineage: Eukaryota; Viridiplantae; Streptophyta; Magnoliopsida; Poales; Poaceae.